GACGAACGCUGGCGGCGUGCCUAAUACAUGCAAGUUGAGCGCUGAAGGUUGGUACUUGUACCAACUGGAUGAGCAGCGAACGGGUGAGUAACGCGUGGGGAAUCUGCCUUUGAGCGGGGGACAACAUUUGGAAACGAAUGUUAAUACCGCAUAAAAACUUUAAACACAAGUUUUAAGUUUGAAAGAUGCAAUUGCAUCACUCAAAGAUGAUCCCGCGUUGUAUUAGCUAGUUGGUGAGGUAAAGGCUCACCAAGGCGAUGAUACAUAGCCGACCUGAGAGGGUGAUCGGCCACAUUGGGACUGAGACACGGCCCAAACUCCUACGGGAGGCAGCAGUAGGGAAUCUUCGGCAAUGGACGAAAGUCUGACCGAGCAACGCCGCGUGAGUGAAGAAGGUUUUCGGAUCGUAAAACUCUGUUGGUAGAGAAGAACGUUGGUGAGAGUGGAAAGCUCAUCAAGUGACGGUAACUACCCAGAAAGGGACGGCUAACUACGUG
This 497-nucleotide ribosomal RNA is filed under the name uncultured bacterium. RNAcentral describes it as "partial 16S ribosomal RNA". It matches the Rfam family "Bacterial small subunit ribosomal RNA", at positions 28 to 507 of the family's 1533-position model. The record is from RNAcentral.